ACAAUACACACGCACACACAGAGGGAGGUGGGAAAUAAAAUAAAAUGACUCUUAAAAACGUUUUAGAUAUUUGAAUAUUUCCAGCUUUAGUAUCUAAUUACUUUGCUUAUCAUUUAUGGACUUUGUGUCAUUGAAUAUUUUCUAAUUUUAUUCGGACAUGUAUUGUAGCUCACAGUGUGAUCUCUUUUGAUAAGUGGCCUUACAUAUACUAACAGGGAAUGCAUAUUUUGUUGAUGGGUGUAAUGUUCAAUAAAUGUAAAUUAGGUCGUGCUUUGUCAAGCACUGCUCAAGUGUUUUAUAUUUUUGCUGAUAUUUUCGUCAUCUUCUAUCAAUUGUGAAGAGAUGACUGUUGAAAUCUUUAUUCUUUCUGUUUUUUAAAUUUUCUUCCAUCAGUUAUUAUAAUCUUUGUUAUUAGCUGGGCAAAAAUAUAGGAUUACUAUGUCUUUUCAUAAACUGAUAAAUUACCAAAUGAUAUUCUUUAUUCUUGGUAUUGCUCUCUACCCUGAUAUCAUCUGUUAUGAGCAGAACCUCUCUUCAAUUUUCUUCUGGUCAAUGUAUUUGCUUCUUAAGUGUGAUGUAAAAAGAAAGAUAGUAGAGAGAGGAGAGAGAGAGAGAGAGAGAGAGAGAGAGAGAGAGCAGGAACUCAGACACACAUGGCUUAUGAUUCUAGAAUUUCAGUCUCUCACAAUUCUGGAGGCUAUAAUUUCAAGUUUAAGGUAUCAACAUGGUGAUGACUCUGUAAAGAAUCAUUCCAGAAAUGUAAAUCAGAUCUGGCUGUGUUUUUGAGAGCAAUCCUUGCUGGCACUCCUGUCCACCCGUGACACUAGAUGAUUUGUGUACCCCUGAGUCUGUCCCACGAUACAUUCCCAUUCCAAAGGACAGGCAAGAAUAAAUUAAGGGAUCAUUGGUCUACAGAUGGAAACAACCCACCAGGAAACUGCCCCUCUAAGUUUCCAGACCUCACAAUAAUCCUCUGCCCAUCCAUGCCUUUACCCUGUUGCCAGAGUACAUUGUCCUGAUUAACUCUUGUCUGGUUUACAGUUCCUAUCUCCAGGUAGCUCCCUUAUUCCUCAGUUUGCUAUAAACAACAUGGAGACGCCAGGCCAUAGCUUCCACCUUUUGCCAAAUAUUUGAGUCAUCACUUAUAUUUUCUAUUUUCCCUCCAAACACUAAGCUCUGUUCGCUAAAGAAUUCUGUCAUUUUCUAACAAGAAUAGUCUUUUCUUCAAGGUCUAAGAACAUGAUUUUUGCUGAGACUUCAUCAGGGGUAGUUGUAUUUUUGCCGUGGUUUGUAUAUCUACCACCCUCCUGUUCACAAAGACAUAAGCAUUUUCUAAGAUGACAGAGGCUUCCUUCCACGGCCUUCACUUCUUCCAAGGCUCUUACCAGCAUCAUCUUUAGUGCCUAAAUUUCUACCAAACCUCUUUAAGGAAACCUAGAACUUUUCUGUCAAACACCUCAAAAUUCUUCUAGCUUGUGCGCAGUGCCAAAGUCACUUCUACACUGUCAAGCAUGUGUUCAAUAUCCCCGUGGGUUUUUUUUGGGGGGGGUUGGUACCAAGUCAGUAUCAGUCUCCUAGUGCUGCUAUAAUUAAUUACUAGACAGGGGAUAGCUUAAAACAAGAGUAACAUAUUCUCUUGUGAUUAAGGAACCCAUAAAUCUGAGCAGGAAGCAUUGGCCUGGUCCCACUUUAUCUGGAGGCAAUGAGGAAGAAGAUCUUAGUCUUUCCUACCUUCUGGUGUCUGACAGUUUUUUACAUCAUCUGGCUUGAAUCUGCACCACGACAUCCUCUCUACUGUUGCCAUGUGCCUUCCUCUCUGAGUACCUGUGCCUAUCUCCUGCUACCCCUCCUCCCCUCCUCCUCUCCUCCUCCUUCUAACCCUACAUUAUAUCACGUAUAAGAACCCUCAUGAUCCUGCAUGGCUUCCUCUUAACUAAUGGCUUCUCCAUAGUUCCUAUUUCCAAAUACCUUCUUUAAGACUCUGGGUGACCGUGAAUUUUUGGCAGAUGCAAUAGUACUCAGUGAACAAAGCGUAUCUCAUCUUAUCCUUCUCCUGUUAUCUUACUUAUGCUUUAAUGUUGGCUGUGCUUUUCUUGCAGGCAGCAUAUAGUGGGUCUUGCUUAAUGUCUGGCUUACUAACCUCCAUUAUUGAAGUGUACUCUUUAUGGGCUAUACCCGCUGUCUUGUGAAUUCUGAAUUGUGAAUUCAGACACUACUCUCAGCUCUGCAUCAGGACUAGUAAAGGGUCACUUGUCAUCCUUUCAGAUGGUUUUCUUUAUAUGCAUGCAUUGAUCAGUGUGGAAGUGUGGGGUGAAACAGGUCACUCUUUAGAUGUCUGUAUUUUUAUUUUGUAUAGCUCUCAAUUUUCUGGCCCUCUUAUGGUAAUUCUGACUUCUUAAAUUUUCAGUUUGCCUCCUCAACUCAGCCCUAUCCUUCUUCCCCAUCCUCCUAUGAUCUGAGUCACAGCUCAGAAACACUACUUAAAAAAUCUACUUAGUGUGUCUUGUCAUUAUUUUGGGCUGCUCAGUUAUACAAGAAAGGACUACCUAGACCUAGCUAUUCACCUUUUUCAGAAGAAGAAAUUCUUUGAGAAUUUUCCUGAACUAGGUAGUAAUUAAUUAAAAUUGAGGUAAAAUAUUGUAGGUGAAUAGCACUGUCAAAUCCACAUCGAGAUAACUAAUAUAUAUCUUUUUCCAGAGGAAAUGUCUUUCUGAGGAAAGUCUGUGAAGAAAGUUGUCAGUAGGUAACACUGAUAAUCUGGUCUGGGAAUUCCAAACGCCUGCAUUCAGAUCUGAAUUCUGCCGCUCCUCAACCAUGUGACACGAUACAGCAGGUUACCUCAUGUUUGUACCACAGUGUCUCAUUUAUAAAAUGAAGACACAUCUGGACUCUCAUUAUGAUGUAACAGAACAUUCUUCCAAGAGUACCCAGUGUAUGGUGGUCAGCACACUCAAGUCUCCCUCAGCCAUCAGAUCUCAUUAUUUCUCUGCUUCGUCACUCCUUCCUAAAAUACAACUUUGGCUUCCUAGGUAGUCAGUACUUUCCUGGUUAUAAACAGAGGAUGAAAACACACCAGGUUUCCAGUGUAUCCAUCAUCAGCAGAUGACAGGCAGGCUUGCUGUACAGGGACUCAGCAACAUCUCAGCCACAGCAGAUGGGUCUAGCCACAGCUCUGCCACUGAGGUGCCUGCUGUCACUGCAUGAUGCUAGCCUGCCGGGGCUCUGAAUGACACCAGCGCCUGGGAAGACAGCGGCUAAGGCACACAGAAAGAACAAAGCACUUCCGCAGGAGCCUGACUUUCAACCAGGAGUCUGAGAUGCUGAGGAUUGUCCACAUUGCUGCGUGAAUAAAACACGUCCCCUCAGAACGCAGGGUAUGAAAUUCUAGAACAUGAAAAAUGCUGUGCUUUUCAAAUUUUACUUCUUAAAGGCUCAAUUUCUGUGGUGGGAGUUGUGAAGCUGCAAACAAAUACAAUAAACUCAGUUAAUGCA
RNAcentral lists this small RNA (3492 nucleotides) under Rattus norvegicus (Norway rat). RNAcentral's name for it is "uncharacterized LOC102547255". Lineage: Eukaryota; Metazoa; Chordata; Mammalia; Rodentia; Muridae. The record is from RNAcentral.